UACGUAGGGGGCAAGCGUUGUCCGGAAUCAUUGGGCGUAAAGCGCGUGUCGGCGGCUCGAUAAGUCUGCUGUGAAAGUCCGGGGCUCAACCCUGGAAAGCCGGUGGAAACUGUCGGGCUAGAGUCCGGAAGAGGCGAGUGGAAUUCCUGGUGUAGCGGUGAAAUGCGCAGAUAUCAGGAGGAACACCAAUGGCGAAGGCAGCUCGCUGGGACGGUACUGACGCUGAGACGCGAAAGCGUGGGGAGCAAAUAGG
This 253-nucleotide ribosomal RNA is filed under the name uncultured bacterium. RNAcentral's name for it is "partial 16S ribosomal RNA". It matches the Rfam family "Bacterial small subunit ribosomal RNA", at positions 524 to 776 of the family's 1533-position model. The record is from RNAcentral.